RNAcentral lists this non-coding RNA (59 nucleotides) under Marinobacterium stanieri. Its description in RNAcentral is "Xanthine-I sequence". It matches the Rfam family "Xanthine riboswitch aptamer (NMT1 RNA)". From Rfam's summary of the family: Later it was reported as a ncRNA that recognised Xanthine. Lineage: Bacteria; Pseudomonadati; Pseudomonadota; Gammaproteobacteria; Oceanospirillales; Oceanospirillaceae. The record is from Rfam by way of RNAcentral.
ACGUUGAGUAGAAGCUGUCAGGCCCUAAGUAUUGCUUAGGCCAGGUCAUUGCUCACUGU